This 47-nucleotide ribosomal RNA is filed under the name Juglans regia (Persian walnut). RNAcentral describes it as "18S ribosomal RNA". Lineage: Eukaryota; Viridiplantae; Streptophyta; Magnoliopsida; Fagales; Juglandaceae. The record is from RNAcentral.
AAAGUCGUAACAAGGUUUCCGUAGGGCAACCCGAUGCAGGAUAAUUG